AGGGUCAUUAAUGAGAGAGGGGCUUCGCGCUCCCGGGGGGUUUCGGCCUCCACCUCUUCACCCACUGCGUACCUACCUUUGUUGCUUUGGCGGGCCACGGGGUUUCGCCUCGCGCCGGCCUCCGGGCUGGUGAGCGCCCGUCGGAGGCCCUCAAAAUUCUGUUUAUAGUGACGUCCGAGUUAAAUACAAAAUAGUAAAAACUUUCAACAACGGAUCUCUUGGUUCCAGCAUCGAUGAAGAACGCAGCGAAAUGCGAUAAGUAAUGUGAAUUGCAGAAUUCAGUGAAUCAUCGAAUCUUUGAACGCACAUUGCGCCCCUCGGUAUUCCGGGGGGCAUGCCUGUUCGAGCGUCAUUACACCCCUCAAGCAUAGCUUGGUAUUGGGUCUCGCCCCUCGGGCGUGCCCGAAAAGCAGUGGCGGUCCGGAGCGACUUUAAGCGUAGUAAAUUUUCAUCCCGCUUUGAAAGAUCGCCUCGCGGCUUGCCAGAACCCCAAAUAUUUUCAUAAUGACCUCGGAUCAGGUAC
Molecule: ribosomal RNA, 523 nt
Filed under: Usnea sp. F206
Lineage: Eukaryota; Fungi; Ascomycota; Lecanoromycetes; Lecanorales; Parmeliaceae
Description: eukaryotic LSU rRNA
Rfam family: 5.8S ribosomal RNA (bases 199-352)
Source: RNAcentral